GCGUCCAUAGUUCAACGGAUAGAACGGAAGCCUUCUAAGCUUUUAAUCUGGGUUCGAUUCCCGGUGGACGCA
Molecule: transfer RNA, 72 nt
Filed under: Pseudomonadota bacterium
Lineage: Bacteria; Pseudomonadati; Pseudomonadota
Also listed under: 1 other name
Description: tRNA-Arg
Rfam family: tRNA
About the family: Transfer RNA (tRNA) molecules are approximately 80 nucleotides in length.
Source: RNAcentral